RNAcentral lists this ribosomal RNA (685 nucleotides) under Bacillus sp. CL28. Its description in RNAcentral is "bacterial SSU rRNA". It matches the Rfam family "Bacterial small subunit ribosomal RNA", at positions 80 to 751 of the family's 1533-position model. Lineage: Bacteria; Bacillati; Bacillota; Bacilli; Caryophanales; Bacillaceae. The record is from RNAcentral.
UGCUCCCGGAUGUUAGCGGCGGACGGGUGAGUAACACGUGGGUAACCUGCCUGUAAGACUGGGAUAACUCCGGGAAACCGGAGCUAAUACCGGAUAGUUCCUUGAACCGCAUGGUUCAAGGAUGAAAGACGGUUUCGGCUGUCACUUACAGAUGGACCCGCGGCGCAUUAGCUAGUUGGUGAGGUAACGGCUCACCAAGGCGACGAUGCGUAGCCGACCUGAGAGGGUGAUCGGCCACACUGGGACUGAGACACGGCCCAGACUCCUACGGGAGGCAGCAGUAGGGAAUCUUCCGCAAUGGACGAAAGUCUGACGGAGCAACGCCGCGUGAGUGAUGAAGGUUUUCGGAUCGUAAAGCUCUGUUGUUAGGGAAGAACAAGUGCAAGAGUAACUGCUUGCACCUUGACGGUACCUAACCAGAAAGCCACGGCUAACUACGUGCCAGCAGCCGCGGUAAUACGUAGGUGGCAAGCGUUGUCCGGAAUUAUUGGGCGUAAAGGGCUCGCAGGCGGUUUCUUAAGUCUGAUGUGAAAGCCCCCGGCUCAACCGGGGAGGGUCAUUGGAAACUGGGAAACUUGAGUGCAGAAGAGGAGAGUGGAAUUCCACGUGUAGCGGUGAAAUGCGUAGAGAUGUGGAGGAACACCAGUGGCGAAGGCGACUCUCUGGUCUGUAACUGACGCUGAGG